This 476-nucleotide ribosomal RNA is filed under the name uncultured bacterium. RNAcentral's name for it is "bacterial SSU rRNA". It matches the Rfam family "Bacterial small subunit ribosomal RNA", at positions 28 to 516 of the family's 1533-position model. The record is from RNAcentral.
GACGAACGCUGGCGGCGUGCCUAACACAUGCAAGUCGAACGGAGUUAAGAGAGCUUGCUCUUUUAACUUAGUGGCGGACGGGUGAGUAACGCGUGAGUAACCUGCCUCAAAGUGGGGGAUAGCACCUGGAAACGGGUGGUAAUACCGCAUAAUACGUUCAGAGGACAUCCUCAGAACGUCAAAGAUUUAUUGCUUUGAGAUGGACUCGCGUCCGAUUAGCUAGUUGGUGGGGUAAUGGCCCACCAAGGCGACGAUCGGUAGCCGGACUGAGAGGUUGAACGGCCACAUUGGGACUGAGACACGGCCCAGACUCCUACGGGAGGCAGCAGUGGGGGAUAUUGCACAAUGGGCGCAAGCCUGAUGCAGCAACGCCGCGUGAGGGAAGAAGGUUUUCGGAUUGUAAACCUCUGUCUUCGGUGAAGAAACAAAUGACGGUAGCCGAGGAGGAAGCCACGGCUAACUACGUGCCAGCAGCC